RNAcentral lists this ribosomal RNA (253 nucleotides) under uncultured bacterium. RNAcentral's name for it is "partial 16S ribosomal RNA". It matches the Rfam family "Bacterial small subunit ribosomal RNA", at positions 524 to 776 of the family's 1533-position model. The record is from RNAcentral.
UACGGAGGGGGCUAGCGUUGUUCGGAAUUACUGGGCGUAAAGAGCGUGUAGGCGGCUCGGUAAGUCCGCUGUGAAAGUCCAGGGCUCAACCCUGGAAGGCCGGUGGAAACUGCCGGGCUAGAGUCCGGAAGAGGAGAGUGGAAUUCCUGGUGUAGCGGUGAAAUGCGCAGAUAUCAGGAAGAACACCAAUGGCGAAGGCAGCUCUCUGGGACGGUACUGACGCUGAGACGCGAAAGCGUGGGGAGCGAACAGG